Molecule: ribosomal RNA, 492 nt
Filed under: uncultured bacterium
Lineage: Bacteria
Description: partial 16S ribosomal RNA
Rfam family: Bacterial small subunit ribosomal RNA
Source: RNAcentral
AGUGAACGCUGGCGGUAGGCCUAACACAUGCAAGUCGAACGGCAGCACAGUAAGAGCUUGCUCUUACGGGUGGCGAGUGGCGGACGGGUGAGGAAUGCAUCGGAAUCUACUUUUUCGUGGGGGAUAACGUAGGGAAACUUACGCUAAUACCGCAUACGACCUACGGGUGAAAGCAGGGGAUCUUCGGACCUUGCGCGAUUGAAUGAGCCGAUGUCGGAUUAGCUAGUUGGCGGGGUAAAGGCCCACCAAGGCGACGAUCCGUAGCUGGUCUGAGAGGAUGAUCAGCCACACUGGAACUGAGACACGGUCCAGACUCCUACGGGAGGCAGCAGUGGGGAAUAUUGGACAAUGGGCGCAAGCCUGAUCCAGCCAUACCGCGUGGGUGAAGAAGGCCUUCGGGUUGUAAAGCCCUUUUGUUGGGAAAGAAAAGCAGCAUGUUAAUACCCCGCUGUUCUGACGGUACCCAAAGAAUAAGCACCGGCUAACUUCGUG